Molecule: ribosomal RNA, 398 nt
Filed under: uncultured bacterium
Lineage: Bacteria
Description: bacterial SSU rRNA
Rfam family: Bacterial small subunit ribosomal RNA
Source: RNAcentral
UACCGCGAAGAACCUUACCAGGGCUUGACAUGCCGCGAAUCCUCUUGAAAGAGAGGGGUGCCCUCGGGAACGCGGACACAGGUGGUGCAUGGUUGUCGUCAGCUCGUGUCGUGAGAUGUUGGGUUAAGUCCCGCAACGAGCGCAACCCUCGUUCUAUGUUGCCAGCGCGUUAUGGCGGGGACUCAUAGGAGACUGCCGGGGUCAACUCGGAGGAAGGUGGGGAUGACGUCAAGUCAUCAUGCCCCUUAUGUCUUGGGCUUCACGCAUGCUACAAUGGCCGGUACAAAGGGCUGCGAUACCGUAAGGUGGAGCGAAUCCCAAAAAGCCGGUCUCAGUUCGGAUUGAGGUCUGCAACUCGACCUCAUGAAGUCGGAGUCGCUAGUAAUCGCAGAUCAGCA